Long non-coding RNA from Hemicordylus capensis (graceful crag lizard), 223 nucleotides. RefSeq lists it as uncharacterized. The record is from RefSeq and is a predicted model, not a curated record. The transcript is spliced from 2 exons. Lineage: Eukaryota; Metazoa; Chordata; Lepidosauria; Squamata; Cordylidae.
AGCCACCUUGCCAUACAAGCUGAGGCCCCCAUGCCCUACCUAGGGAAUCCAUCGGAAAGGAAUGGCACGUCAAGAUUGCAAAGUGUCUUCAAUUCAUAACUUGGCACUUAUUGAAACAUUGUGACGUCAACAAUGAAUGAACAAAAGCGAAGCAAACCUGAGUGGAACAAAAUAUAUCGUGCUGACAACAACAUGUCAAUGAAGUAACAGCAUAUUUUUCUCG